AAAAAAAAGGAGAGAAAACCCUAAAAAAUCGGCGGUGGAAUUCUCCGAGUAUCUGAGACUGAAGCGACUGAGAAGCGUAGACGCAAAUGGAAAUGACAAAGGACUUAUUGAGGGUAAAAGAGACAGAAGGGAGAGGGAGGGCGUUGGUGGCGGCUCAGCCACUGAGGGGCGGUCAAAUCGUUCUCAGAGACUCUCCAAUCCUCCUAUACUCUGCUCUUCCUCUCAUCUCUCCUUCUCUUCACCCUUACUGCAACCACUGCUUCAAAACCCUAAAGCAACCUCAACCUCAAGCUGCUGGUUCUUCAGCUUGUGUAUGUCCAUGGUGUUCACACCAUGCCUUCUGCAGUUCCAAUUGCCUCUCCUCUGCUCUCUCUUAUUCCCACUCUCCUUGGGUCUGCCAAGCCCUUUGCCGCCUCCGCGACUCCCCUUCCCCUCUCUCCGACCAACCGCUGGAGCGUCAGGUCCAGGCCCGCUUCCUCAUCGCUGCCUACAACCUCGCAAUCGUUUCCCCGUCCAAUUUCCAGAUGCUCUUGUCUCUCCAGGGCCAGCCAGACGACUCGGCCGCCUCCGACACCACCGCGGCUGCCCACUUUCUGCAUUGUCUCAUCUCUUCCCUCUGCGCUCCUCCUCCAUCUCUCCAAGAGCAGCAGCUGUUUUCGGUGGAGCUCUCGGCGGCUCUGCUGGCCAAGGACAAGCUAAAUGCCUUCGGAUUAAUGGAGCCCUUCUCGGAAACUUCGCAGAGGUCCAGCAGAGCCUACGCCAUUUAUCCAAAGGCUUCGUUCUUCAACCACGAUUGUCUCCCCAAUGCCUGCAGAUUCGAUUAUGUCGACGCUGACGGCGACCGCAACACCGAUAUGGUGGUCAGGAUGAUCCAUGAUGUUCCGGCGGGAAGGGAGAUUUGCUUGAGCUAUUUUCCGGUGAACCAGAGUUAUUCUAGCCGGCAGAGGACUUUGGCGGAGGACUAUGGGUUUGCUUGUCAAUGUGAUCGCUGCAAGGUCGAAGCCAAUUGGUCUGAUAAUGAGGAAAACAUUGAGGGUGAGGAAGAAGCAGAGGGCAUGGACGAGGACCAAGACCAGGAAAUGGAAGCAGCCUCAGAAUCAGAACCAGAGUCAGGUAGUGACAUUGAAGAAGCCCAAGCCCAAGUGGAAUCUGAUUUCCCACACGCCUAUUUCUUCCUCAGUUUCAUGUGUAAUAGAACCAAUUGCUGGGGCACUCUGGCCCCUUUGCCCCCCAAAGAUGAUGGAACUCCGUCUAAUGUCAUGGAAUGCAAUGUCUGUGGCAACCUGAAGAAAGAUGAAGAGAUCAAUGGUCAUGGUCAUGAUGGGCUCUCAAUCGAUGGCUAAAUUAACUGCUCUCUUGGUUGCUUGCUGGCUUUCUAAGCAUUUGGCGAAACAAUGGGUGUCAAUCGCCAACAGCAAUCAUUCAAAGUGUGUGCCCCGAUUACGUGGCGGGAUCAUAUGCUUUAGGCGGAUUUGUCAAAUAUAAAAGCAGAGACAGAGAGAGAGAGAGAGAGGCAGCGGAGCAAAAGAGAAACCAGAAGAAAGGAAGGAGAAGGUCAUCCAGCGAUUUGGGGAGCAUUUACAAGUAAGUGCUGCAGGGUGCCUUCCCCCCCUCCCCCACAGGCUGCCUAGAACUAACGCAGGAAAACAACAGACAAAAUUAUUGAAUUUUGUUUAUUCAGAAGGCGGAUAAAGAAGAUAAGGUGAUUAUUAUUCAUCUCUGGUGCCCACACAAUUCAGGGUAGGGACGAGAGAGGGAGAUAUGGCUGUGUAUGAACCUAUUAAAA
Prunus avium (sweet cherry) is the source of this 1786-nucleotide non-coding RNA. NCBI's taxonomy places the organism in Eukaryota, Viridiplantae, Streptophyta, Magnoliopsida, Rosales, Rosaceae. The record is from RefSeq and is a predicted model, not a curated record.